Molecule: ribosomal RNA, 496 nt
Filed under: uncultured bacterium
Lineage: Bacteria
Description: partial 16S ribosomal RNA
Rfam family: Bacterial small subunit ribosomal RNA
Source: RNAcentral
GAUGAACGCUGGCGGCGUGCCUAAUACAUGCAAGUCGAGCGAACGGACGAGAAGCUUGCUUCUCUGAUGUUAGCGGCGGACGGGUGAGUAACACGUGGAUAACCUACCUAUAAGACUGGGAUAACUUCGGGAAACCGGAGCUAAUACCGGAUAAUAUUUUGAACCGCAUGGUUCAAAAGUGAAAGACGGUCUUGUUGUCACUUAUAGAUGGAUCCGCGCUGCAUUAGCUAGUUGGUAAGGUAACGGCUUACCAAGGCAACGAUGCAUAGCCGACCUGAGAGGGUGAUCGGCCACACGGGAACCGAAACACGGCCCAAACUCCCACGGGGGGCAGGCGGGGGGAAUCUUCCGCAAGGGGCGAAACCCUAACGGGGCACCGCCGGGGGAGUGAGGAAGGUUUGCGGUUCGUAAAACCCUGUUAUUAGGGAAAAAAAAAUUUGUAAGUAACUUUGCACAUUUUGACGGUACCUAACCAAAAAGCCGCGGCUAACUACGU